CCUACGGGUGGCAGCAGUGAGGAAUAUUGGUCAAUGGGCUUACGCCUGAACCAGCCAAGUCGCGUGAGGGAAGACUGCCCUAUGGGUUGUAAACCUCUUUUGUCAGGGAGCAACGCCGGCUACGUGUAGCCGGACUGAGAGUACCUGAAGAAAAAGCAUCGGCAAACUCCGUGCCAGCAGCCGCGGUAAUACGGUGGAUGCGAGCGUUAUCGGGAUUUAUUGGGUUUAAAGGGUGCGUAGGCGGAAUGCCAAGUCAGCGGUAAAAUCGCGGGGCUCAACCUCGCUCCGCCGUUGAAACUGGCGGUCUUGAGUGGGCGAGAAGUAUGCGGAAUGCGUGGUGUAGCGGUGAAAUGCAUAGAUAUCACGCAGAACUCCGAUUGCGAAGGCAGCAUACCGGCGCCCAACUGACGCUGAAGCACGAAAGCGUGGGUAUCGAACAGGAUUAGAUACCCCGGUAGUC
Molecule: ribosomal RNA, 460 nt
Filed under: uncultured bacterium
Lineage: Bacteria
Description: partial 16S ribosomal RNA
Rfam family: Bacterial small subunit ribosomal RNA
Source: RNAcentral